UAGCAUUCGAGAUCUCAAAGCCGAUGCCGGGAUGAAAGGGCUGCUUCCCGGCGCGCAGUUCGCCGAUGCGUUUCGCAUCGCAGUGAAUGACGACACCCUCACCGCGCGGCAGGCGGCGGGGGGAAUGUUUCUCCGUUUGCCGCGCGGGAUCGACGGUCUGAUGAAGCUGCGAAAUCUUGUGGUCGCACCUCUCGGCCUCAAGACACCCACCCAUACAAAAACCAUCGUUGCGGAUUCGAUCGGACCGUUUCC
This 252-nucleotide unclassified non-coding RNA is filed under the name Hevea brasiliensis (rubber tree). The record is from RNAcentral. Lineage: Eukaryota; Viridiplantae; Streptophyta; Magnoliopsida; Malpighiales; Euphorbiaceae.